This 4624-nucleotide long non-coding RNA is filed under the name Sus scrofa (pig). RNAcentral describes it as "lncRNA (ENSSSCG00055030472.1)". The record is from RNAcentral. Lineage: Eukaryota; Metazoa; Chordata; Mammalia; Artiodactyla; Suidae.
GGCCAGGACGCCACUGAUUCCACCCACAAAGGGCAGCCUCCUGCAGCUCCGGCAGUGGUGAAAAGGAGCCACAGUGCCUGAUAGGAGCAUAAAGAAAUUAUGUGGCACCAGGGUAGCCAUCUCAGGAAAGACUCUGUGUCUUCCUGCCCUGCUCUGCCCUGCUGGAAGGUUCCCUGGCUCACUUAUAACCACUGACAAUCAGCGGUGGUUUCCAUGGCAUAGCAAACAUGCCCAAAUGUCCUCCUCAGAUGGAAGAACCAAGGGGCAAAAGGCCGGAUUGGUAGGGCCUACCGAUUCUCACGGCCCCUUUCAAGAGCCACUGUGAGCCUCUAACGUUAGAGACUGGCUCUUGCUCAUGGCUUUGUCUCCAACUCCUUUUCCUAGUGUUGGGUGGCUAUUACAUGGCACAGAAUGCUUACUGAGUUAAUAAGCAAGUGAAUAAAUGGACAAGUGUGGGGUUUUUUUUCCUCCUUAAAAUAGCCUUUAAGCAGAGUAAUGGCAUGUCCUGGAAUUUCUAGAGCAUCCUCAUUGCAAAUAUCCUCCCUCAUGUUCCCACGUAAGGACACUGACAUUUGACGGACCCACCCUGGAACCAAUUUUGUGCGUCCAAAGGAAAGUACAAAAAUCAAUUACCGAAGAAGGAUUAUCUUUGUAUUGCAACCUCUUGCCUUCCGGAGUAAUUCACAAAUCAUUAUAGACCACCACUUUCACAGAAACAGACUCUUCCUCUCUUUCCCAAUAGAUUUUUCCUUCCAAAAAAGGAGAACAUGACAACCUGUUUCUCGGAAGGGAAGAAACGUCUUUGUUUUACUGUUAUUUCCAUUUGAACCCACGGUGCUUCCCUAUUUCGAUCUUUACAAACUAAGUUGUCAGAUUUAGCCAGUUUAUAAGAUGAGUUAAGGAGAAACAAAGGUCCUCAUAUGGCCUGUUAUAAAGCCAUUUUUUUAUUUUAUUAGUCACAUUAGCAUUCUGUUGCCCUUUAAAUGUCACAAGUUCAAGAGCACAGCCAUAUGCAUCCGGAAAUAUUUCUUCUCGUUGGAAUAAAACAUGAGGAUACAAUUUCCUAGGACACAGAGAAGAUGACAGAGAAAUAACAAAAUAAGAGUCAAAAUGUGUUGGAUACUGUUACAGAUAAGAAGCUGGGUCAUUUUUCCGUCAAACUUUGUCAUUGUUCUAACCCUGAGCUAGUCGAGAAAUAGUUUAGUUUGUUUGUUGUUACUUGCUGUUGUUGUUUUUGUCAUCUAAACCAUAAUGAAAAACGGAAUUUGUCCCUUCCAAGAUGUGCAGAAAUAAAAGAGACAUUCCUUCUUUCUAAAUAAAGGGAGGAAGUCACGUCAUGAUGAAUAGUAUUCUGAAAAAAUUGCUUUUGAUCUACUAACAAUCUGAAUAUUACUCCCAACAUUACAUUAUUGUAGUUACAGAUAAGCUGGCGGCUAUAAUAAUCUCCGUAUUGCAAAACCUAGAGUGAGCUAAAGCAGUACAGUAGACUGAUGAAAAAAUGAUGCACAGAGUUCCGGCUGUGGCACAGUGGGUUAAGAACUCCACUGCAGCAGCUCAGGUCUCUGCGGAGGUGCAGGUUUGACCCAGUGGGUUAAGGAUCUGGUGUUGCCUCAGCUGUGGUGUAGAUUGCAGCUACAGCUCAGAUUCAAUCCCUAGUCCAUUCAGUCCCUGGCCCUGGAAACUUCCACAUGCCACAGGUGCGGCCAUUAAAAAAAGUUGAGAAAGGGGAAAGAGUAAAGAACCAGUUCUUUCUGAUUUUUCUGACGUCUUAAAUCCGUAUUUAGGCCCUGUAACAACAGGGUAAAAUGCAAGUUUCACCAAUAUUUUCAAUGGCUGAGCCCCAAGAAAGCACAUACAAAAGAUUUCUUCCUUUGUGCUGCUCUUCCUAUCAUAAUUUUUAGCAUUUUCUAAAAUUUUGAAUGCUUCUUCCUCCAUGUUUCUUUUCCCAUCUAUCUCUAGAUCUUUUCAGCUCUCCUUCCAAAGUACUUCUCUAACCGGUCUUCUUUCGUUUCCCAUGUCUUCCAUAAUUUUCAUGGUUUGCUAGUCAUUUCCUUUCCUUUGAGCUUUUCAAUUUAUUUUUCUGACUUCUGACUCUUUCCUUGCUCUUUCACCUACUGCUCAGUAAUCAAACUAACUACCUGAGGCAUAAAUCUAGGCCUGUGUUUCUCUUGAUAAAUAAUACUCUGUUUCUCCCUAACACUUAUAUUGAUGAUUCCCAAACUGUGGGGAGAAAAGAAACUUACCUAUACAUUCCCAAAAUCAGGGUGUAAAAGAAAUAGCAAUCACUAUGUGUUCCACGGAUCAAAGAGUUCACUUCUUAGGACAGAAUUAAAAAACAAACAAACAAAAAAACCUAGCUUCAGCAAUACAAUAAAUUUAUUCCUUUAACUAUCCAAGAAAAAACGUAACGAGUGAAGAUUAAGAACCAGAGAAUCUGUGACGCUUUCAUCCAUGACUUCCCCUCUCUGCACAGCAACGCUACUGUCUCCUUUCACAGUUUUCUUUCUCCAAAGGCUGAAACAGCACUUUCUAGAAGCUCCUGGACCCACACUUUCAAAGAGUUGCACAGGAGAGGAAAAUAUUUUUCUCUCUGGUUCUUGGCUUCCAACCUGGGAAAAAUUCUGAUUGGCUGGCCUAGGGAGUGAGGUGCUCUGAUUGGCAGUUCCCACUCAGGUCCCCUGGUUGGAGACGAGGUCCCAGUGGUUUCUGAAAGUUACAUUCCUCUAUGGGGAGGGGAGUCGGUGCUCUUGAUUUUGCAAAACAAAAGACAUCUAUUGUGGAGGCGGGCUUGAGAUUCUCUAUGUUAAGUCCUUUUAGGGGGAUAUUCAGUUCUCAACAUAGAGCAUCAGUUUUUGACUCUCUCUCCUGCAGGAAAAAAAAAAAAAAUACCUAAAAUCUGGAAAACUGCAGAAAAUAACACUUUAAAAAACUUUGAAGAGUGGCCAACAUAGGCAAGGAUUGAGAGGUUCUGAUCCUCUAAGAAAGGAAGUACAGGAGUUCCCGUCGUGGCUCAGCGGAAACGAAUCUGACUAGCAUCCAUGAGGAUGCAGGUUCCAUCCCUGGCCUCGCUCAGUGGGUUAAGGAUCUGGUGUUGCUGUGAGCUGUGGUGUAGGUUGCAGACAUGGCUAGGAUCCCAUGUUGCUGUAGCUGUGGUGUAGGCUGGUGGCUACAACUGUGAUUCAACUCCUAGGCUGGGAACCUACAUAUGCAGUUGGGUAUGGCCCUAAAAAGAUGAAAAGAAGGAAGGAAAGAAGGAAAGAAGGAAGGAAAAUUUUAAAAAAGGAAAGAAAAGAAGUACAAUGAGGGGUGCCUCCCAUUCACCCCUAUCGCUUUUACUGAAAACAUUUGCCGUGUUCUGCACAGAGGAGUAGAAUGCCAGCAGAAGGCCACCAGAGGCUGAAGUUCAGGCCAAGGCAGAGCAGUGUUAGUAAACACACCAGAAGGUCCACCUUCUCAGAAUAAGGGCAAAACUGAAAUAGGUCAGUAAAGUUGAAAUAACAAAGCUAAAAAUAAUCCUCAGCAGAAUUUGAGUGAUUCCUUACGCUCUAUGUAUAUUGUCAAAAAAGAAAUGAUGGAAGACCGCCUAAUCCAGAGGCUCUAAUUUUAUUUUCAUUUUAAGCAGGUUUAUUGAGAUAUAGCUUAUAUGUCAUAAAAUUCACCCAUUUAAAAUAAAGAGUUCAAUGGUUUCUUGGAUUCACAAAACUGUACAGCCAUCACCAUAUCUGAUUUUAGAGUAGUUUCAUCAUCUCAUCCCUCAAAAAUCAGUCACUCCCAAAUCCCCCCCUUUCCCAGUCCCUGGAAAGCACCAAUUUACUUUCCCUAUGUAUUUGCCUCUUCUGGACAUUUCAUUUAGGUGGAAUCAUGUGAUAUAUUGCCUUUUGUGAUAUACCCACAAGUGCAGUUUCAGGGUCCUAUGGUAACUAUGCGUGUCCUUUUGAAAAUUGCUAAAUAACUUUCCCAAGAGCUGGGACAUUUUGCAUUCCCACCAGCGGUGUAUGAGGGUUGGAAUCUCUUCCCAUCCUGGCCACCAGGUGUUAUUCUUUAUCGUUAUUUAUCGUAGCCAUCCUAUGUAAAGUAUAUGAUGUAUCAUCACGUUGUGAUUUUUAUCUUGCCUUCUCCCAAUGACUAAUGAUAUUGUGUAAUGUUCUCUUCAUUUAUUAGUCACUUGCAUAUCUCCCUUGAAGAAAUACCUGUUGAAUAGAUACUUAUUUUAAUUGCUUUGCACAUUGCUGACCUCAUUAGUUCUACUAGUUUUACUGUGGAAUCCUUAAAAUUUUCCAUACGCAAGAUCAUAUAAUCUACAAAUACAGAGAGUCAUACAUCUUCCUGCAUAAACUUGAUGAUUCCUAUUCCUUUUUCUUGCCUAAUUGCACUGACCAGAACCUUCAAUGCAAUGUUGAAUAGAAGUAGUGAGAGCAGGCAUAUUUGUCUCAUUCUUGGUAUUAGAGGAAAGCAUUCAGUGUUUUUCCAUUGAGUAUAUUAGUUGUGAGACUUUCCCAGAUGUCUUUAUCAGGUUAAGAAAAUUCUCUCUAUUCCUAGUUUAUUGAGUGCUUUUAUCAUAAAAGCAUAUUAGGUUUUCGUCAAAUGAUUUUUUUGUGUCUAUUGAGAUGUUCAUGUGGUUUUG